AUUGAACGCUGGCGGCAUGCCUUACACAUGCAAGUCGAACGGCAGCACGGGAGCAAUCCUGGUGGCGAGUGGCGAACGGGUGAGUAAAGUAUCGGAACGUGCCCAGUCGUGGGGGAUAACGUAGCGAAAGUUACGCUAAUACUGCAUACGAUCUAUGGAUGAAAGCGGGGGAUCGCAAGACCUCGCGCGAUUGGAGCGGCCGAUAUCAGAUUAGGUAGUUGGGGGGGUAAAGGCUCACCAAGCCGACGAUCUGUAGCUGGUCUGAGAGGACGACCAGCCACACUGGGACUGAGACACGGCCCAGACUCCUACGGGAGGCAGCAGUGGGGAAUUUUGGACAAUGGGCGAAAGCCUGAUCCAGCCAUGCCGCGUGCAGGAUGAAGGCCUUCGGGUUGUAAACUGCUUUUGUACGGAACGAAAAGGUUUGGCCUAAUAAGCUGAGCUCAUGACGGUACCGUAAGAAUAAGCACCGGCUAACUACGUGCCAGCCGCCGCAGUAA
This 500-nucleotide ribosomal RNA is filed under the name uncultured bacterium. RNAcentral describes it as "partial 16S ribosomal RNA". It matches the Rfam family "Bacterial small subunit ribosomal RNA", at positions 30 to 523 of the family's 1533-position model. The record is from RNAcentral.